AGAGCGAACGCUGGCGGCAGGCUUAACACAUGCAAGUCGAACGAACCCUUCGGGGUUAGUGGCGGACGGGUGAGUAACACGUGGGAACGUGCCCUUAGGUUCGGAACAACGCAGGGAAACUUGUGCUAAUACCGGAUGUGCCCCUCACGGGGGAAAGAUUUAUCGCCUUUGGAGCGGCCCGCGUCUGAUUAGCUUGUUGGUGAGGUAAAGGCUCACCAAGGCUACGAUCAGUAGCU
Molecule: ribosomal RNA, 236 nt
Filed under: uncultured bacterium
Lineage: Bacteria
Description: partial small subunit ribosomal RNA
Rfam family: Bacterial small subunit ribosomal RNA
Source: RNAcentral